GACGAUCUGUGCUUCCCGGCAGGAAAUCAUAUUCCCCGGGGCCUUAUUGAUCCCUAGGGAGCUGUCCCUGGCCGGGCCCGUGGGUUCGGUCAUACGGCGCCCACCUACUUUGUAGGUUCCCGGGAUCGCUUUUCCACCGGUUGUGUGGAUCGUCA
Molecule: small RNA, 155 nt
Filed under: Alphaproteobacteria bacterium
Lineage: Bacteria; Pseudomonadati; Pseudomonadota; Alphaproteobacteria
Description: 6S RNA
Rfam family: 6S / SsrS RNA
About the family: E. coli 6S RNA was the first non coding RNA to be sequenced, but its function was unknown until recently. It consists of 184 nucleotides that fold into an extended hairpin structure with a large single-stranded internal bulge.
Source: RNAcentral